GUGCUCACUUUGGCAGCACAUAUCCUACAAUUGGAAUGAUACAGAAAUUAGCAUGCUCCCUGUACAAAAUGACAUGCAAAUUCAUGAAGUGUUCCAUAUUUUA
Molecule: small nuclear RNA, 103 nt
Organism: Jaculus jaculus (lesser Egyptian jerboa)
Lineage: Eukaryota; Metazoa; Chordata; Mammalia; Rodentia; Dipodidae
Source: Ensembl